ACUCAGCACAGGCAAACCUCUCUGUGACGCACACACCCCAAGGCACCUCGCUGUUCAAAUCUCAGUUCAGCCCUUCAGGACAGUAUGAUGUUGUGGUCCAGUGGUCGGCAGAUGCAGUAUUCUACAGCUCGGCGGUCUUUCCCAGGUGCAGCAGUCUGUAGGUGUUUUGCUCAGCUUUUGAUCUCUGGCGUUCAGCCUGCUGGUCUGCCAGCAAGCUGUAGAUGGUCGUGAGUUUUCCCCAAGAUUUGCCCGGUUUAAUACUGGCUAUCAUCAUAUUGACCACUCCAUUUUCUGAUGUGGUGGAACAGUUUGCACUGUCAUCGUUAUCUUCAUCUCAUUGAACUUCAAGCAAAAUGCAAGCCAUCAAUCCAGGACCUUCUACAGAAAUGCAUCCUACACCUUUCACAGACUUAAAUGUACUGUGUGCAGUAAUGCUCGAAUGACUAUACUCGGGAACGUCCAAAUAUGGAGAAGAGUAAACAUUAAUAACAUAUUUGUAAUAAUCAGCUCAUUACAUAUUAUUCUUGCUGAUAGUAUGAGUACAUCAAUGCAGAAAUUGCAAAGUUCUUGCCCACUUGUUAAAGUGAAGGUAGA
Molecule: long non-coding RNA, 594 nt
Organism: Liolophura sinensis
Lineage: Eukaryota; Metazoa; Mollusca; Polyplacophora; Chitonida; Chitonidae
Exons: 3
Source: RefSeq, a predicted model, not a curated record